This 85-nucleotide transfer RNA is filed under the name Felis catus (domestic cat). It matches the Rfam family "tRNA". From Rfam's summary of the family: Transfer RNA (tRNA) molecules are approximately 80 nucleotides in length. Lineage: Eukaryota; Metazoa; Chordata; Mammalia; Carnivora; Felidae. The record is from Rfam by way of RNAcentral.
GCCUGAGUGGCUCAGUCGGUUGAGUGUCUGACUUCAGCUCGGGUCACGAUCUUGGAGUUUGUGAGUUCGAGCCCCGCAUCGGGCU